CGGGACCGGAGGUGCUUUCGACCUCCGAGGCUGCGACCGCGUGUCCUGUAGCAGCAACCACUGCAGAUGGGGCGUUGCAGCUCUCGAGCUGCUGCGGCUGCAGCUGGACUUGGCAGGGGCUCCCUUAUUUCCUAGCCCUCAAUCCAAUUCCUAGUGAGGUGGCUGUCCUACCGGACUCAAAGAAUGAAACUGCCACCUGGGCUCUGAAGAGAUGCCAGUUCCAGUAGUUCCUCAAGGGUUCAAAGAACUUCAGUGACUGCCACAGGCAAAGUGGAUUCAAAUGCUAAACGGAACCAAGCAGACCGAAGACUGCAGAAAGGAAGAAACGCCUUACUAUGCUCCAGUGCAGCGGCGGACGGCCCGGUGUUAUUUCUGGAAUCCCCAAGGCCAGGCUGCAAGACACACGAGCGUUUAUGUUCCUGUGGGUUGGGGUGGAGCUGGACACACAGAAAUCCCAACGGAUAAAAUGCCUUCUGUAUAAGCAGUGGAUUUCAAGAUUCCCUAAAUUAGAGCAGCAAACCCAGCCCAUAGAGAGGAGACGCCCAUGGAGGUGAUGAGAGAGGAGACAUAUGAAGGGAAAUUGUCAAAAAGGUUGUUUCUGAGUGAGGCCUACCCAAAAGAGGCACGUGCCAAAUAUUUACCACAAACAAGCUCAUAUGAUCAUGUGAAAUCAAAAACUGACACAUUAUGAAAUUGUAAUAUCUGAGGGACUCCAUAGAAUCUGCUUGUGUCUGAAAAAAAAAUUCUUGGUACUUCAAGUCCCAGAACACAGAAAAGCUGAC
Molecule: long non-coding RNA, 782 nt
Filed under: Mus musculus (house mouse)
Lineage: Eukaryota; Metazoa; Chordata; Mammalia; Rodentia; Muridae
Description: predicted gene 4419
Source: RNAcentral